This 777-nucleotide ribosomal RNA is filed under the name uncultured Neocallimastigales. RNAcentral describes it as "partial large subunit ribosomal RNA". It matches the Rfam family "Eukaryotic large subunit ribosomal RNA", at positions 22 to 628 of the family's 3401-position model. The record is from RNAcentral. Lineage: Eukaryota; Fungi; Neocallimastigomycota; Neocallimastigomycetes; Neocallimastigales.
GCGUCUAUAUACGUAUAGCAUAUCAAUAAGCGGAGGAAAAGAAACUAACUAGGAUUCCCUUAGUAACGGCGAGUGAAGCGGGAAGAGCUCAAAUUUGAAAUCUUCAAGGUUUUACCUUGACGAAUUGUAGUUUAAAGAAGUGUUUUCUGUUGGUAGUUUUGGUAAAAGUUCUUUGGAAUAGGACAUCAUAGAGGGUGAGAAUCCCGUAUUUGACCAUUAUUUCCAACUUUGUGAUACACUUUCAAAGAGUCGGAUUGUUUGGGAAUGCAGUCCAAAAUGGGUGGUAAAUUUCAUCUAAAGCUAAAUACUGGCGAGAGACCGAUAGCGAACAAGUACCGUGAGGGAAAGAUGAAAAGAACUUUGAAAAGAGAGUUAAACAGUACGUGAAAUUGUCAAAAGGGAAGCGUUUGACACCAGUGUUGUUUUCUCGAAAAUCAAUUAAAAAUGGCUGGGAUUUUGUGUUGUAUUGACUUUAUCAGCUUUCUGCACUUUUUUCCUGUCUUUUUUAAUGCACUUUUCGUUUAACAAGUCAACAUCAAUUUCUUUUGUUGUAAAAGGGUCAUUGGAAGGUGGCUUUCUUUUCGGAGAAAGUGUUUAUAGCCUUUGACUUCUGCAAUCGGAGAGAUUGAGGUCUGCAGCGUAGAUCCUUCGGGGUUAGAUGCAUUUGUGCUAAGUUAUAGCCUUUCAUAGACAACUUGUUGACUAUGAUCAGUCAUGUAGCUUACUCGCUUAUGUCAUUUUACCUACGCUUAGGAUGUUGACGAUCAGCUGAGCGCG